AGGGGAUGCUACUCUAAUAGAGCUGCUUCCCGGGAGUUGCAUCCCUCGAGGGGCUUCUUAGCGAGAGAGUGAGCCCAAGGGGAGGGUGGACAGGCCCUGUCCUCCAGGAAUCCUGUCCCGCAGAGCCCCGCAAGCUCCGGGAUGCAGGUGGGGGUAGGGAGCGGCACCCGGAGACGGGGCGGGACGGCCCGAGGAGGAAUCCAAGAGGAGGGCUUAGGAGUUCGGCUCCUCCCUCGAGGCUGCCCCACUCCCACCCCAGCAGCUCCAGGGCUGGAGAAACGAAGCAGGGAAAUGCCCUGGGAGACCCUGGGAGUCAGUGUGAGGCUUGAGGUCCUGCCAGCCCCUUUCUCUGCCUGACCAGAUUGGAACCUGAAGUCUCCAGAUCCGAAACUCUGCCAUAACUCUCACUCUGGCUGUGCUUGUGGGACAUGAUUUUGAGAAGGAAAAUAAAUGAAAUAGAAGGCGGAGAGAUCCUUCAGGAGGCAAGAAGCAAGAGGAGACAGUGCCCUGUGUCCAGCACAAUGGCAAGAAGAAGAGGAAAGGAAAUCCAAGUAUGUAGUAGGUGCUGUCACUGAAUGAG
This is a long non-coding RNA of Mesocricetus auratus (golden hamster), 580 nucleotides long. RefSeq lists it as uncharacterized. Lineage: Eukaryota; Metazoa; Chordata; Mammalia; Rodentia; Cricetidae. The transcript has 3 exons. The record is from RefSeq and is a predicted model, not a curated record.